Molecule: ribosomal RNA, 183 nt
Filed under: uncultured bacterium
Lineage: Bacteria
Description: partial 16S ribosomal RNA
Rfam family: Bacterial small subunit ribosomal RNA
Source: RNAcentral
GUAUGAAGCUGGAAUCGCUAGUAAUCGCAGAUCAGAAUGCUGCGGUGAAUACGUUCCCGGGUCUUGUACACACCGCCCGUCACACCAUGGGAGCCAGGAAUGCCCGAAGCCAGUGGCCUAACCGCAAGGGAGGAGCUGUCGAAGGCAGGCCCGGUAACUGGGGUGAAGUCGUAACAAGGUAAC